UGGGCCCACCUGACCCCAUGCCGAACUCAGAAGUGAAACGCUGUAGCGCCGAUGGUAGUGUGGGGUCUCCCCAUGCGAGAGUAGGGAACUGCCAGGC
RNAcentral lists this ribosomal RNA (97 nucleotides) under Salmonella enterica subsp. enterica serovar Dublin. The record is from RNAcentral. Lineage: Bacteria; Pseudomonadati; Pseudomonadota; Gammaproteobacteria; Enterobacterales; Enterobacteriaceae.